Molecule: ribosomal RNA, 864 nt
Filed under: uncultured crenarchaeote
Lineage: Archaea; Thermoproteati; Thermoproteota
Description: bacterial SSU rRNA
Rfam family: Archaeal small subunit ribosomal RNA
Source: RNAcentral
GGACCCGACUGCUAUCGGGGUGAGACUAAGCCAUGCGAGUCAGCACCCUGGGCUAUGGCAGGGUGCGGCGCACGGCUCAGUAAUACACGGUCAACCUACCCUUAGGACGCGGAUAACCCCUCGGGAAACUGGGGAUAAUCCGCGAUAGGGGAGGAGGCCUGGAAUGGUUCCUCCCCGAAAGGGCUCUGGGGCCAUGCUCUCCAGAGCCGCCUAAGGAUGGGACCGUGGCCGAUCAGGUUGUUGGUGGGGUAACGGCCCACCAAGCCUAAGACCGGUACGGGCCGUGAGAGCGGGAGCCCGGAGAUGGACCCUGAGACAAGGGUCCAGGCCCUACGGGGCGCAGCAGGCGCGAAAACUCCGCUAUGCGCGUAAGCGCGACGGGGUCACCCCGAGUGCCACCCGCUGAGGGUGGCUUUUCCCCAGUCUAAACAGCUGGGGGAAUAAGGGGAGGGCAAGCCUGGUGUCAGCCGCCGCGGUAAUACCAGCUCCCCGAGUGGUCGGGACGAUUAUUGGGCCUAAAGCGUCCGUAGCCGGUCUGGUAAGUCCCCUGUUAAAUCCAGCGAUCCAAUCGCUGGGCUGCAGGGGAUACUGCCAGGCUAGGGGGCGGGAGAGGCUGGCGGUAUUCCCGGGGGAGGGGUGAAAUCCCGAGAUCCCGGGAGGACCACCGGUGGCGAAGGCGGCCAGCUAGAACGCGCCCGACGGUGAGGGACGAAAGCCGGGGGAGCGAACCGGAUUAGAUACCCGGGUAGUCCCGGCUGUAAACGAUGCGGGCUAGGUGUCGGGUCAGCUACGGGCUGACCCGGUGCCGAAUGGAAGCAAAUAAGCCCGCCGCCUGGGGAGUACGGCCGCAAGGCUGAAACUUAA